CCCUUAGAUGUUCUGGGCUGCACGCGCGCUACACUGAUGCACUCAACGAGUUUACGACCUUGCCCGAUAGGGUUGGGUAAUCUUUUUAAAAUGCAUCGUGAUGGGGAUAGAUUAUUGCAAUUAUUAAUCUUCAACGAGGAAUUCCUAGUAAGCGCGAGUCAUCAGCUCGUGCUGAUUACGUCCCUGCCCUUUGUACACACCGCCCGUCGCUCCUACCGAUUGAGUGCUCAGGUGAAUAAUUCGGACUGCAGCAAUGUUUGGAUCCCGAACGUUGCAGCGGAAAGUUUAGUGAACCUUAUCACUUAGAGGAAGGAGAAGUCGGAACA
RNAcentral lists this ribosomal RNA (326 nucleotides) under uncultured eukaryote. RNAcentral describes it as "partial 18S ribosomal RNA". It matches the Rfam family "Eukaryotic small subunit ribosomal RNA", at positions 1470 to 1796 of the family's 1831-position model. The record is from RNAcentral.